Molecule: ribosomal RNA, 529 nt
Filed under: uncultured Flavobacteriaceae bacterium
Lineage: Bacteria; Pseudomonadati; Bacteroidota; Flavobacteriia; Flavobacteriales; Flavobacteriaceae
Description: bacterial SSU rRNA
Rfam family: Bacterial small subunit ribosomal RNA
Source: RNAcentral
UAGGGUUUGAUUAUGGCUCAGGAUGAACGCUAGCGGCAGGCCUAACACAUGCAAGUCGAGGGGUAACAGAGAGAAGCUUGCUUUUCUGCUGACGACCGGCGCACGGGUGCGUAACGCGUAUACAAUCUGCCUUAUACAGAGGGAUAGCCUUUAGAAAUGAAGAUUAAUACCUUAUAGUCUAUUUUUAUAGCAUUAUAUAAAUAGUAAAGCUUCGGUGGUAUAAGAUGAGUAUGCGUCCUAUUAGUUAGUUGGUAAGGUAACGGCUUACCAAGACAACGAUAGGUAGGGGCCCUGAGAGGGGGAUCCCCCACACUGGUACUGAGACACGGACCAGACUCCUACGGGAGGCAGCAGUGAGGAAUAUUGGACAAUGGAGGCAACUCUGAUCCAGCCAUGCCGCGUGCAGGAUGACGGCCCUAUGGGUUGUAAACUGCUUUUAUAUAGGAAGAAACCUUUUCACGUGUGAGAAGCUGACGGUACUAUAAGAAUAAGGACCGGCUAACUCCGUGCCAGCCGCCGCGGUAAUACA